Molecule: long non-coding RNA, 796 nt
Organism: Xenopus laevis (African clawed frog)
Lineage: Eukaryota; Metazoa; Chordata; Amphibia; Anura; Pipidae
Exons: 3
Source: RefSeq, a predicted model, not a curated record
UUGUGCAAAAAGUCCUAUGCAUUAAAGGUACUUGCAUUAACAUGUUCUCCUUUCACUUCUGUAUAGUUGCGAUCUCACUGCUGCCAUCUUCUUGUUCAGAAUCAAGUGCUGCUGUGCAUAUUGACUCAGGGGAACCUUGGAUCUACAUCCAAAUGUGAACCAGCACUGCGGAAUAUGUCGACAGUUUAUAAAUAGAAGAAAUUCCAGUGGCACACUGAAUGCUGAAAAAGUGUUUAGUUUAUUCACCCAAAUACAUACAGACAAGGGCAACGUUUCGGACCACUCGGGCCCUUUGUCAAGCCUGGUGUAACAAUCCGGCAAAGAGAACACAGAGAGAAUCUCGCGAGGCUACACGAGAGGUCCGGCCGGCAGCACACACCAAGGAGCAUCACGUGACAGGAAGGAGACGCCACGCUGGAACCAACAGAGUUACGGAUCAGACCGUGAGGGACGCCAAUACCGGAUAGAAGGAGCGCACCGUCCACGAGUGGAUUUCGCAGAGGAUUAUUCUACAGAUAACACAGCAUCGUCCUCCUCCUCCUCUUGUUUUUUAGAGCCACGGACUCCAGGCCCCACAAGGUCAGGAGAGGGGCACGGAGACAGAGCAAGGGACGACCCGCAUCACAACAAGGACACUCGUUAUUACACUGCCCCAGGGGAACGGAGACAGCAACCACCACGGACACCAUGACGGACCGGACACAAACAACGUUACUAGUAUUAAACACACUGAGUGCUGACAUCGUUACCUACAUACUAACAUGUGUCUCAGGAAGGUGCUGAGUACAGUAUGUGG